GAUGAACGCUAGCGGCGUGCUUAACACAUGCAAGUCGAACGGUGAAGCAGGAGCUUGCUCUUGUGGAUCAGUGGCGAACGGGUGAGUAACACGUGAGCAACCUGCCCCUGACUCUGGGAUAAGCGCUGGAAACGGCGUCUAAUACUGGAUAUGUGAUGUGACCGCAUGGUCUGCAUCUGGAAAGAAUUUCGGUUGGGGAUGGGCUCGCGGCCUAUCAGCUUGUUGGUGAGGUAAUGGCUCACCAAGGCGUCGACGGGUAGCCAGCCUGAGAGGGUGACCGGCCACACCGGGACUGAGACACGGCCCAGACUCCUACGGGAGGCAGCAGUGGGGAAUAUUGCACAAUGGGCGGAAGCCUGAUGCAGCAACGCCGCGUGAGGGAUGACGGCCUUCGGGUUGUAAACCUCUUUUAGCAGGGAAGAAGCGAAAGUGACGGUACCUGCAGAAAAAGCACCGGCUAACUACGUGCCAGCCGCCGCAGUAA
Molecule: ribosomal RNA, 484 nt
Filed under: uncultured bacterium
Lineage: Bacteria
Description: partial 16S ribosomal RNA
Rfam family: Bacterial small subunit ribosomal RNA
Source: RNAcentral